Molecule: non-coding RNA, 160 nt
Organism: Salvelinus sp. IW2-2015
Lineage: Eukaryota; Metazoa; Chordata; Actinopteri; Salmoniformes; Salmonidae
Source: RefSeq, a predicted model, not a curated record
GGGUCAUUUACACCAUAUGGUUAAGGGUCAUUUACACCAUAUGGGUUAAGGGUCAUUUACACCAUAUGGGUUAAGGGUCAUUUACACCAUAUGGGUUAAGGGUCAUUUACACCAUAUGGGUUAAGGGUCAUUUACACCAUAUGGGUUAAGGGUCAUUUAC